RNAcentral lists this long non-coding RNA (1063 nucleotides) under Olea europaea (common olive). RNAcentral describes it as "long non-coding RNA (OEUR_LNC013579)". Lineage: Eukaryota; Viridiplantae; Streptophyta; Magnoliopsida; Lamiales; Oleaceae. The record is from RNAcentral.
CAUUUUUAAAUGUAGAGAAAUGUCAUGUUCAAAAUGAAAUAUCAUUCUAGACAAAUGAAAUGGUGUUCAAAUGUUGAGAAUGACAUAUGAAAUGUCGAGAAACAUUAUUUUAAUGUAGCUUCUCAUAGAAAUCACUUCUCAAAAUUCGUGACAAAUUGAUAAAAAAAUUAAAUGUCGAAAAUACCAUUUCAAAAUAUAGCUUUUCAUUAAGGGCAUAAUAGGUAAGUUGGCACUAAAUUCAAAUGAGUGGACACUUUUCAACUCAUAACCUUCAAAUUGGACAUUCUUAAAAAUGCCCAUUCUUUUAUUAGAGAUGGCAAGGUUUAGUGAGAAGGAAGUUGACGAAGAGGUACAUUUUUUUUCUUUAAACCUUAGUUAAAAUCAUUCAGAAUUAUGUAGUAUUGUUGUAUUCUCUACUUACAUUUCUUAUUUACUAUAUAAGAAUCAACUUUUAGUACUGACCUAUGCUAGUAAGAGUUGUGGGGAAAAAUGAAGAUUGAAUAUGAGUUAAGGUUGAAACUUUUAAAUUGUUGAGCAUGAAUCAAGGAACUAAAAUGCACAAAAAUCAAGAAUGAAUGAAAAGUUUAGUAUUGUUAUAUUCAUAAUAUUAUUUGUCAAUUUUGUAUUUUGCAAUUGGAAGUUGGGAUAAUGUUUGCAUUUUCAUUUGGAAUAUUGUGUUUUUGUUUUCAUUGACUCUCUUUUCAUAAAUUGUUUUAUAUCAAUUUGACGGAUGUACCUAUAAAAAAUAAUUUAUUUUUGUGGUUAUUAACUUAGCCGAACCGAACCAAACCGAUUUACGUGGUUAUGGUGCGGUUAUGGUAUGACAAAUAAUUUGACGAUUUGGUGAUGGUUUUGGCCGAACCGCACCGAAAUCGAACCGUAGCCAUCCCUCCCCGGGCGUUGUCAACACUCUUUGCAUUACAUUAAGCUCAGUGGAAAUAAUCGUUGGUGAUGUUCCACGAUCUUGCAAAUUGUCAAAGGUAGCACAAACAUUAACAUAUUCCCCAUCAUCAUACCCAGCUAGAAUUUCAGAAUUUAAAAGAAAAGCAUUUAAAGGGUUGGG